AGAGUUUGAUCCUGGCUCAGAUUGAACGCUGGCGGCAUGCCUUACACAUGCAAGUCGAACGGUAACAGGUCUUCGGAUGCUGACGAGUGGCGAACGGGUGAGUAAUACAUCGGAACGUGCCCGAGAGUGGGGGAUAACGAAGCGAAAGCUUUGCUAAUACCGCAUACGAUCUCAGGAUGAAAGCAGGGGACCGCAAGGCCUUGCGCUCACGGAGCGGCCGAUGGCAGAUUAGGUAGUUGGUGGGAUAAAAGCUUACCAAGCCGACGAUCUGUAGCUGGUCUGAGAGGACGACCAGCCACACUGGGACUGAGACACGGCCCACACUCCUACGGGAGGCAGCAGUGGGGAAUUUUGGACAAUGGGCGCAAGCCUGAUCCAGCCAUGCCGCGUGCAGGAUGAAGGCCUUCGGGUUGUAAACUGCUUUUGUACGGAACGAAAAGACUCUGGUUAAUACCUGGGGUCCAUGACGGUACCGUAAGAAUAAGCACCGGCUAACUACGUGCCAGCAGCCGCGGCAAUACGUAGGGUGCGAGCGUUAAUCGGAAUUACUGGGCGUAAAGCGUGCGCAGGCGGUUAUAUAAGACAGAUGUGAAAUCCCCCGGGCUCAACCUGGGAACUGCAUUUGUGACUGUAUAGCUAGAGUACGGCAGAAGGGGGGGAUGGUAUUUCCGCGUGUAGCAGUGAAAUGCGUAGAUUAUGCCGGAGGAACCCCGGAUGGGCGAAGGCUAUCCCCGUGGGUCUGUACUGACGCUCAUGCACGAAAGCGGUGGGGGAAGCAAACAGGAUUAGAUACCCCUAAUAGUCCCACGCCCUAAACGAUGUCCAACUGUGGUUUGGUUGGUUCCUUCCACUGGACUCAGUACGAAAGCUAACGCGUUGAAGGUCGACGGCUGGAGAAGUACGGCCGCAAGAUGAACUCGAUGUACGACAGCACCGGACAUCGGUGAAAUGAGUUCUA
RNAcentral lists this ribosomal RNA (958 nucleotides) under uncultured bacterium. Its description in RNAcentral is "bacterial SSU rRNA". It matches the Rfam family "Bacterial small subunit ribosomal RNA", at positions 8 to 946 of the family's 1533-position model. The record is from RNAcentral.